CAGCAGCCGCGGGAAUACGUAGGGCGCAAGCGUUAUCCGGAAUUAUUGGGCGUAAAGAGCUCGUAGGCGGUUUGUCGCGUCUGCCGUGAAAGUCCGGGGCUCAACCCCGGAUCUGCGGUGGGUACGGGCAGACUAGAGUGAUGUAGGGGAGACUGGAAUUCCUGGUGUAGCGGUGAAAUGCGCAGAUAUCAGGAGGAACACCGAUGGCGAAGGCAGGUCUCUGGGCAUUAACUGACGCUGAGGAGCGAAAGCAUGGGGAGCGAACAGGUUUAGAUACCCCUGUAGUCCCUGUCUCUUAUCC
This 301-nucleotide ribosomal RNA is filed under the name uncultured bacterium. RNAcentral's name for it is "partial 16S ribosomal RNA". It matches the Rfam family "Bacterial small subunit ribosomal RNA", at positions 509 to 809 of the family's 1533-position model. The record is from RNAcentral.